CUUGCACCAAUGGGGUCCCUCAGCCGGGCCUGUGCCCUCUUGCAAUCUAGCACCCCUCAGGGGAUGUCUGAGAGCUGGUUCUGGCAAGAUUCUGCAGGCCAGGCUGAGGGACCCCACUAGUGCACA
RNAcentral lists this microRNA precursor (126 nucleotides) under Myotis davidii. Its description in RNAcentral is "mir-9193 microRNA precursor family". It matches the Rfam family "mir-9193 microRNA precursor family". The record is from Rfam by way of RNAcentral. Lineage: Eukaryota; Metazoa; Chordata; Mammalia; Chiroptera; Vespertilionidae.